RNAcentral lists this ribosomal RNA (459 nucleotides) under uncultured bacterium. RNAcentral describes it as "partial 16S ribosomal RNA". It matches the Rfam family "Bacterial small subunit ribosomal RNA", at positions 338 to 795 of the family's 1533-position model. The record is from RNAcentral.
CCUACGGGCGGCUGCAGUGAGGAAUAUUGGUCAAUGGGCGGGAGCCUGAACCAGCCAAGCCGCGUGAGGGAAGAAGGUACAGCGUAUCGUAAACCUCUUUUGUCAGGGAACAAAGGCGGGGACUAGUCCCCGGAUGAGGGUACCUGAAGAAAAAGCAUCGGCUAACUCCGUGCCAGCAGCCGCGGUAAUACGGAGGAUGCGAGCGUUAUCCGGAUUUAUGGGGUUUAAAGGGUGCGCAGGCGGCCUGUUAAGUCAGCGGUAAAAGCCCGGGGCUCAACCCCGGCGAGCCGUUGAAACUGGCGGGCUGGAGUUGGAGAGAAGUACGCGGAAUGCGCGGUGUAGCGGUGAAAUGCGUAGAUAUCGCGCAGAACCCCGGUUGCGAAGGCAGCGUACCGGCUCCACACUGACGCUGAGGCACGAAAGCGUGGGUAUCGAACAGGAUUAGAUACCCUUGUAGUC